RNAcentral lists this long non-coding RNA (678 nucleotides) under Homo sapiens (human). Its description in RNAcentral is "HSALNT0193202". The record is from RNAcentral. Lineage: Eukaryota; Metazoa; Chordata; Mammalia; Primates; Hominidae.
AAGCAGAUUCUAAAAGCAGUUUCUCUUCAGAACAUCUUUUUUCAUACCACUUGAUAAGCAUCUUGAAACACCAUGGCUGUAGCUGCAGUAAAAUGGGUGAUGUCAAAGAGAACUAUCUUGAAACAUUUAUUUCCAGUCCAAAGUGAAGUCUCACUCUGUUGCCCAGGCUGGAGUGCAGUGGUGCAGUCUUGGCCCACUGCAGCUUCGACCUCCCUGGGCUCAGGUGAUCCUGCUAUCUCAGUCUCCCAAAUGGAGCUUUAUAUUGUGUUUGUCAUAAAUCUACGUAUUCUCCUCUACCAGAUGACUAUAAUUGCAACGUAGAGCUUGCUCUGACUUCUGAUGGCAGGACAAUAGUAUGCUACCACCCUUCUGUGGACAUUCCAUAUGAACACACAAAACCUAUCCCUCGGCCAGAUCCUGUGCAUAAUAAUGAAGAAACACAUGAUCAAGUGCUGAAAACCAGAUUGGAAGAAAAAGUUGAACACCUUGAGGAAGGACCUAUGAUAGAACAACUUAGCAAAAUGUUCUUUACUACUAAGCACCGUUGGUAUCCUCAUGGACGGUAUCACAGAUGUCGUAAGAAUCUGAAUCCUCCAAAAGACAGAUGAUGCGGAGGUUCCUGGGGGAAUCAAAGAGAAAUGUGCCUCAUUUGCCAUUUGAGAAAAUGCAGUCUGGUGU